Molecule: transfer RNA, 71 nt
Filed under: Loxodonta africana (African savanna elephant)
Lineage: Eukaryota; Metazoa; Chordata; Mammalia; Proboscidea; Elephantidae
Rfam family: tRNA
About the family: Transfer RNA (tRNA) molecules are approximately 80 nucleotides in length.
Source: Rfam by way of RNAcentral
GCAGGGGUGGUUCAGUAGUGGAAUUCUGGCCUUCCAUGUGGGAGGCCUGGGGUUGAUUCCCAGCCAGUGCG